RNAcentral lists this ribosomal RNA (253 nucleotides) under uncultured bacterium. RNAcentral's name for it is "partial 16S ribosomal RNA". It matches the Rfam family "Bacterial small subunit ribosomal RNA", at positions 524 to 776 of the family's 1533-position model. The record is from RNAcentral.
UACGAGUGGUGCAAGCGUUAUUCGGAAUAAUUGGGCGUACAGGGUGCGUAGACGGUAUAUUAAGUCUGUUGUUAAAUUCUCCGGCCCAACCGGAGCCAUGCAAUGGAAACUGGUAUGCUAGAGGGUGGAAGAGAGAAGUGGAAUUCUCGGAGUAGCGGUAAAAUGCGUAGAUCUCGAGAGGAACACCGAUGGCGAAGGCAGCUUCUUGGUCCAUUCCUGACGUUGAGGCACGAAAGCGUGGGGAGCAAACAGG